GGUUAAGCGACUAAGCGUACACGGUGGAUGCCCUGGCAGUCAGAGGCGAUGAAGGACGUGCUAAUCUGCGAUAAGCGUCGGUGAGGUGAUAUGAACCGUUAUAACCGGCGAUUUCCGAAUGGGGAAACCCAGUGUGUUUCGACACACUAUCAUUAACUGAAUCCAUAGGUUAAUGAGGCGAACCGGGGGAACUGAAACAUCUAAGUACCCCGAGGAAAAGAAAUCAACCGAGAUUCCCCCAGUAGCGGCGAGCGAACGGGGAGGAGCCCAGAGCCUGAAUCAGUGUGUGUGUUAGUGGAAGCGUCUGGAAAGGCGCGCGAUACAGGGUGACAGCCCCGUACACAAAAAUGCACAUAUUGUGAGCUCGAUGAGUAGGGCGGGACACGUGGUAUCCUGUCUGAAUAUGGGGGGACCAUCCUCCAAGGCUAAAUACUCCUGACUGACCGAUAGUGAACCAGUACCGUGAGGGAAAGGCGAAAAGAACCCCGGCGAGGGGAGUGAAAAAGAACCUGAAACCGUGUACGUACAAGCAGUGGGAGCCUCUUUAUGGGGUGACUGCGUACCUUUUGUAUAAUGGGUCAGCGACUUAUAUUCUGUAGCAAGGUUAACCGAAUAGGGGAGCCGAAGGGAAACCGAGUCUUAACUGGGCGUUAAGUUGCAGGGUAUAGACCCGAAACCCGGUGAUCUAGCCAUGGGCAGGUUGAAGGUUGGGUAACACUAACUGGAGGACCGAACCGACUAAUGUUGAAAAAUUAGCGGAUGACUUGUGGCUGGGGGUGAAAGGCCAAUCAAACCGGGAGAUAGCUGGUUCUCCCCGAAAGCUAUUUAGGUAGCGCCUCGUGAAUUCAUCUCCGGGGGUAGAGCACUGUUUCGGCAAGGGGGUCAUCCCGACUUACCAACCCGAUGCAAACUGCGAAUACCGGAGAAUGUUAUCACGGGAGACACACGGCGGGUGCUAACGUCCGUCGUGAAGAGGGAAACAACCCAGACCGCCAGCUAAGGUCCCAAAGUCAUGGUUAAGUGGGAAACGAUGUGGGAAGGCCCAGACAGCCAGGAUGUUGGCUUAGAAGCAGCCAUCAUUUAAAGAAAGCGUAAUAGCUCACUGGUCGAGUCGGCCUGCGCGGAAGAUGUAACGGGGCUAAACCAUGCACCGAAGCUGCGGCAGCGACACUAUGUGUUGUUGGGUAGGGGAGCGUUCUGUAAGCCUGUGAAGGUGGCCUGUGAGGGUUGCUGGAGGUAUCAGAAGUGCGAAUGCUGACAUAAGUAACGAUAAAGCGGGUGAAAAGCCCGCUCGCCGGAAGACCAAGGGUUCCUGUCCAACGUUAAUCGGGGCAGGGUGAGUCGACCCCUAAGGCGAGGCCGAAAGGCGUAGUCGAUGGGAAACAGGUUAAUAUUCCUGUACUUGGUGUUACUGCGAAGGGGGGACGGAGAAGGCUAUGUUGGCCGGGCGACGGUUGUCCCGGUUUAAGCGUGUAGGCUGGUUUUCCAGGCAAAUCCGGAAAACCAAGGCUGAGGCGUGAUGACGAGGCACUACGGUGCUGAAGCGACAAAUGCCCUGCUUCCAGGAAAAGCCUCUAAGCAUCAGGUAACAUCAAAUCGUACCCCAAACCGACACAGGUGGUCAGGUAGAGAAUACCAAGGCGCUUGAGAGAACUCGGGUGAAGGAACUAGGCAAAAUGGUGCCGUAACUUCGGGAGAAGGCACGCUGAUAUGUAGGUGAAGCGACUUGCUCGUGGAGCUGAAAUCAGUCGAAGAUACCAGCUGGCUGCAACUGUUUAUUAAAAACACAGCACUGUGCAAACACGAAAGUGGACGUAUACGGUGUGACGCCUGCCCGGUGCCGGAAGGUUAAUUGAUGGGGUUAGCGGUAACGCGAAGCUCUUGAUCGAAGCCCCGGUAAACGGCGGCCGUAACUAUAACGGUCCUAAGGUAGCGAAAUUCCUUGUCGGGUAAGUUCCGACCUGCACGAAUGGCGUAAUGAUGGCCAGGCUGUCUCCACCCGAGACUCAGUGAAAUUGAACUCGCUGUGAAGAUGCAGUGUACCCGCGGCAAGACGGAAAGACCCCGUGAACCUUUACUAUAGCUUGACACUGAACAUUGAGCCUUGAUGUGUAGGAUAGGUGGGAGGCUUUGAAGUGUGGACGCCAGUCUGCAUGGAGCCGACCUUGAAAUACCACCCUUUAAUGUUUGAUGUUCUAACGUUGGCCCGUAAUCCGGGUUGCGGACAGUGUCUGGUGGGUAGUUUGACUGGGGCGGUCUCCUCCUAAAGAGUAACGGAGGAGCACGAAGGUUGGCUAAUCCUGGUCGGACAUCAGGAGGUUAGUGCAAUGGCAUAAGCCAGCUUGACUGCGAGCGUGACGGCGCGAGCAGGUGCGAAAGCAGGUCAUAGUGAUCCGGUGGUUCUGAAUGGAAGGGCCAUCGCUCAACGGAUAAAAGGUACUCCGGGGAUAACAGGCUGAUACCGCCCAAGAGUUCAUAUCGACGGCGGUGUUUGGCACCUCGAUGUCGGCUCAUCACAUCCUGGGGCUGAAGUAGGUCCCAAGGGUAUGGCUGUUCGCCAUUUAAAGUGGUACGCGAGCUGGGUUUAGAACGUCGUGAGACAGUUCGGUCCCUAUCUGCCGUGGGCGCUGGAGAACUGAGGGGGGCUGCUCCUAGUACGAGAGGACCGGAGUGGACGCAUCACUGGUGUUCGGGUUGUCAUGCCAAUGGCACUGCCCGGUAGCUAAAUGCGGA
Molecule: ribosomal RNA, 2733 nt
Filed under: Escherichia coli
Lineage: Bacteria; Pseudomonadati; Pseudomonadota; Gammaproteobacteria; Enterobacterales; Enterobacteriaceae
Description: partial 23S ribosomal RNA
Rfam family: Bacterial large subunit ribosomal RNA
Source: RNAcentral